This 729-nucleotide ribosomal RNA is filed under the name Vibrio sp. RNAcentral's name for it is "bacterial SSU rRNA". It matches the Rfam family "Bacterial small subunit ribosomal RNA", at positions 68 to 774 of the family's 1533-position model. The record is from RNAcentral. Lineage: Bacteria; Pseudomonadati; Pseudomonadota; Gammaproteobacteria; Vibrionales; Vibrionaceae.
GGAACGAGUUAUCUGACCUUCGGGGGAACGAUAACGGCGUCGAGCGGCGGACGGGUGAGUAAUGCCUAGGAAAUUGCCUUGAUGUGGGGGAUAACCAUUGGAAACGAUGGCUAAUACCGCACUAAGUGCCUACGGGCCAAAGAGGGGGACCUUCGGGCCUCGUCGCGUCAAGAUAUGCCUAGGUGGGUAUUAGCUAGUUGGUGAGGUAAUGGCUCACCAAGGCGACGAUCCCUAGCUGGUCUGAGAGGAUGAUCAGCCACACUGGAACUGAGACACGGUCCAGACUCCUACGGGAGGCAGCAGUGGGGAAUAUUGCACAAUGGGCGCAAGCCUGAUGCAGCCAUGCCGCGUGUAUGAAGAAGGCCUUCGGGUUGUAAAGUACUUUCAGCAGUGAGGAAGGCGGUGUCGUUAAUAGCGGCAUCUCUUGACGUUAGCUGCAGAAGAAGCACCGGCUAACUCCGUGCCAGCAGCCGCGGUAAUACGGAGGGUGCGAGCGUUAAUCGGAAUUACUGGGCGUAAAGCGCAUGCAGGUGGUUUGUUAAGUCAGAUGUGAAAGCCCGGGGCUCAACCUCGGAACUGCAUUUGAAACUGGCAAACUAGAGUACUGUAGAGGGGGGUAGAAUUUCAGUGUAGCGGUGAAAUGCGUAGAGAUCUGAAGGAAUACCAGUGGCGAACGCGGCCCCCUGGACAGAUACUGACACUCAGAUGCGAAAGCGUGGGGAGCAAACA